UGGGGAAUCUUGCACAAUGGGGGCAACCCUGAUGCAGCGACGCCGCGUGAGCGAUGAAGCCCUUCGGGGCGUAAAGCUCUUUCGACCGGAACGAUAAUGACGGUACCGGGAGAAGAAGCUGCGGCUAACUACGUGCCAGCAGCCGCGGUAAUACGUAGGCAGCAAGCGUUGUUCGGAGUUACUGGGCGUAAAGAGUGCGUAGGCGGUUUUUAAGUUCGGUGUGAAAUCUCCCGGCUUAACUGGGAGGGUGCGCCGAAGACUGGGAAGCUGGAGUGUGGGAAAGGCAGGCGGAAUUCCUGGUGUAGCGGUGAAAUGCGUAGAUAUCAGGAGGAACACCGGCGGUGUAGACGGCUUGCUAGACCAUAACUGACGCUGAGGCACGAAAGCGUGGGUAGCAAACA
RNAcentral lists this ribosomal RNA (401 nucleotides) under uncultured bacterium. Its description in RNAcentral is "bacterial SSU rRNA". It matches the Rfam family "Bacterial small subunit ribosomal RNA", at positions 355 to 774 of the family's 1533-position model. The record is from RNAcentral.